Molecule: small RNA, 765 nt
Filed under: Pongo abelii (Sumatran orangutan)
Lineage: Eukaryota; Metazoa; Chordata; Mammalia; Primates; Hominidae
Description: processed transcript
Source: RNAcentral
ACUGCUGGUCGUGUGUGUGUGUGUGUGUGUGUAUGUGUUUGUGAUUUAAAAUUACAUUCAGUCAACUCUCUCUUUUUAUAGCCCUAUGGGCUUUUUGAAUAACCAAAUGCUCAACAGUUCUGUAAUCUUUCAGGUUGCUGUGAUCAGUCCCUAAGGAGUCUACACUCUCAGAGAGAUUGGGAAAGGCCUGUGAGACAAUGGGAUUCUUUUUUCUAGAGGUGUAACUCUGCCUGUGUUUGCAUGCCACCUCCAGAACGACUAAAAUGUUAUUUCUCAGUGGGUGAUUAAGACUGGCAGCAAUUGCAAAAACAGAUUCAUGCCAUGUGUCACUCUUCACAGUCAGGAACUUAUUUACCUCUUGGAACUUUCCAAAGGAACGAUGAUGGUGGUGAUAAUGUCACAUUAAUAUGGAGCCCUUAAAUUCAGCAGUGUUCAACCUGAGGGAAGAGAGAGGCCAUGCUGGAUAAGGAACUGGCUGCCUCUGUGAACAUCCUACUCAAGGCAUCUUCACUGCUGUACAUCCUUUUGAAAUCCCAGAGGUCUUCAGUCUCCCUGUGGAUUAAGGAGAUGUGCAGUAUUUAAAGUAGCUUCAGGAAGGCAUGGAAGAGGACUGAGUGCGGAAAGCUUUUUGUGCAUGCUGCUGGCCACCUCCAGCGGCUGCCUCCAGCCUCCAUCAGCUGCACUCUGGGGAAGAGGAGGCUGCCUUCUACCUCUCAGCAUCUCUGGAUUUCAUGUUCCUGUCAGCACAGAGGAGCUAAAUGGCCU